CCUACGGGUGGCAGCAGUGGGGGAUAUUGCAAAAUGGGGGAAACCCUGAUGCAACGACGCCGCGUGGGUGAAGAAGUAUUUCGGUAUGUAAAGCCCUAUCAGCAGGGAAGAAAGAAGACGGUACCUGACUAAGAAGCCCCGGCUAACUACGUGCCAGCAGCCGCGGUAAUACGUAGGGGGCGAGCGUUAUCCGGAUUCACUGGGUGUAAAGGGAGCGUAGACGGCCGUGCAAGCCAGGAGUGAAAGCCCGGGGCCCAACCCCGGGACUGCUCUUGGAACUGUGCGGCUGGAGUGCGGGAGGGGCAGGCGGAAUUCCUGGUGUAGCGGUGAAAUGCGUAGAUAUCAGGAGGAACACCGGCGGCGAAGGCGGCCUGCUGGACCGCGACUGACGUUGAGGCUCGAAAGCGUGGGGAGCGAACAGGAUUAGAUACCCCAGUAGUC
This 441-nucleotide ribosomal RNA is filed under the name uncultured bacterium. RNAcentral describes it as "partial 16S ribosomal RNA". It matches the Rfam family "Bacterial small subunit ribosomal RNA", at positions 338 to 795 of the family's 1533-position model. The record is from RNAcentral.